RNAcentral lists this ribosomal RNA (187 nucleotides) under uncultured bacterium. Its description in RNAcentral is "partial 16S ribosomal RNA". It matches the Rfam family "Bacterial small subunit ribosomal RNA", at positions 1314 to 1500 of the family's 1533-position model. The record is from RNAcentral.
GGCUACAUGAAGCUGGAAUCGCUAGUAAUCGCAGAUCAGAAUGCUGCGGUGAAUACGUUCCCGGGUCUUGUACACACCGCCCGUCACACCAUGGGAGCCGGGAAUGCCCGAAGUCGGUGACCCAACCGUAAGGAGGGAGCCGCCGAAGGCAGGCCUGGUAACUGGGGUGAAGUCGUAACAAGGUAUC